This 114-nucleotide microRNA precursor is filed under the name Chlorocebus sabaeus (green monkey). RNAcentral describes it as "miRNA (ENSCSAG00000027492.1)". Lineage: Eukaryota; Metazoa; Chordata; Mammalia; Primates; Cercopithecidae. The record is from RNAcentral.
UGAGGCAGGAGAAUCGCUUGAACCCAGGAGGUGGAGGUUGCAGUGAGCCGAGAUCACACCAUUGCACUCCAGCCUGGGCAAAAAGAGCGAAACUCCGUCUCAAAAAAGAAAAAA